CUAGGCAUGUGGCUCAAUAAUUUACCACCCUCACUAGAUAGUAAUAUAGCAACAUUUCAAAACAACUUUAGGAGUCAUGUGAAGGACGAACUUCGAUGCCUCACAACUAGCCUGAUGAAUUGAAAAGAUUGAGUUGGUGUUAUAUUUUUCUUCACUCAAGAACCCAGCAAGUGACCAACCAUAGUGUAUAGAUGGGAUGCAGUUGGCUUGCACAAGUAUUUGGUGUCCC
RNAcentral lists this long non-coding RNA (229 nucleotides) under Elaeis guineensis (African oil palm). RNAcentral describes it as "long non-coding RNA (EGUI_LNC042199)". The record is from RNAcentral. Lineage: Eukaryota; Viridiplantae; Streptophyta; Magnoliopsida; Arecales; Arecaceae.